This 480-nucleotide ribosomal RNA is filed under the name Escherichia coli. RNAcentral describes it as "partial 23S ribosomal RNA". It matches the Rfam family "Bacterial large subunit ribosomal RNA", at positions 711 to 1189 of the family's 2925-position model. The record is from RNAcentral. RNAcentral also lists the same sequence under 2 other names. Lineage: Bacteria; Pseudomonadati; Pseudomonadota; Gammaproteobacteria; Enterobacterales; Enterobacteriaceae.
AGACCCGAAACCCGGUGAUCUAGCCAUGGGCAGGUUGAAGGUUGGGUAACACUAACUGGAGGACCGAACCGACUAAUGUUGAAAAAUUAGCGGAUGACUUGUGGCUGGGGGUGAAAGGCCAAUCAAACCGGGAGAUAGCUGGUUCUCCCCGAAAGCUAUUUAGGUAGCGCCUCGUGAAUUCAUCUCCGGGGGUAGAGCACUGUUUCGGCAAGGGGGUCAUCCCGACUUACCAACCCGAUGCAAACUGCGAAUACCGGAGAAUGUUAUCACGGGAGACACACGGCGGGUGCUAACGUCCGUCGUGAAGAGGGAAACAACCCAGACCGCCAGCUAAGGUCCCAAAGUCAUGGUUAAGUGGGAAACGAUGUGGGAAGGCCCAGACAGCCAGGAUGUUGGCUUAGAAGCAGCCAUCAUUUAAAGAAAGCGUAAUAGCUCACUGGUCGAGUCGGCCUGCGCGGAAGAUGUAACGGGGCUAAACCA